This 253-nucleotide ribosomal RNA is filed under the name uncultured prokaryote. RNAcentral's name for it is "partial 16S ribosomal RNA". It matches the Rfam family "Bacterial small subunit ribosomal RNA", at positions 524 to 776 of the family's 1533-position model. The record is from RNAcentral.
UACAGAGGGUGCAAGCGUUGUUCGGGAUCAUUGGGCGUAAAGGGCGUGUAGGCGGUUUGUUAAGUCAUGUGUGAAAUCCCCCGGCUCAACCGAGGAACGACGCAUGAAACUGGCAAGCUAGAGUACCGAAGAGGGGGGUGGAAUUCCCGGUGUAGCGGUGAAAUGCGUAGAUAUCUGGAGGAACACCGGUGGCGAAGGCGGCAUCCUGGACCGGCAUUGACGCUGAGGAGCGAAAGCCAGGGGAGCAAACGGG